GAUUAUUUAUUUGAAGAAAAGUGCAAAUGACAAUUGGUGGGCAGCUCGGGUUGCCGAGAGAGAACUCCAUAAUUUAAAGAAAGAAAAUGUAUAUAAAAGCAAAAAGAACCUGCUGAUCGAGGAACACUGCCACAUAGAAGAAAAAACCAUCUCGAUUGCUGAUGCAAAUUUCAAAUCUACAAGAGGAGUUGACUUAUAUUGUAAAAAAGCCAAAGAUACUGAAGAAAGAGUGAAAAGAACCACUGUUUAUUACCAAGGAAGGGUUAUUCAUUAUAAGAAAAAAGCCCACAAUAAUUGGUGGGCAGCUCGGGUUGCCGAGAGAGAACUCCAUAACUUUAAGAAAGAAAAUGUAUAUAAAAGCAAAAAGUA
This is a long non-coding RNA of Ochotona curzoniae (black-lipped pika), 369 nucleotides long. RefSeq lists it as uncharacterized. The transcript has 6 exons. Lineage: Eukaryota; Metazoa; Chordata; Mammalia; Lagomorpha; Ochotonidae. The record is from RefSeq and is a predicted model, not a curated record.